RNAcentral lists this transfer RNA (72 nucleotides) under Pangasianodon hypophthalmus (striped catfish). It matches the Rfam family "tRNA". From Rfam's summary of the family: Transfer RNA (tRNA) molecules are approximately 80 nucleotides in length. Their secondary structure includes four short double-helical elements and three loops (D, anti-codon, and T loops). Further hydrogen bonds mediate the characteristic L-shaped molecular structure. tRNAs have two regions of fundamental functional importance: the anti-codon, which is responsible for specific mRNA codon recognition, and the 3' end, to which the tRNAs corresponding amino acid is attached (by aminoacyl-tRNA synthetases). tRNAs cope with the degeneracy of the genetic code in two manners: having more than one tRNA (with a specific anti-codon) for a particular amino acid; and 'wobble' base-pairing, i.e. permitting non-standard base-pairing at the 3rd anti-codon position. The record is from Rfam by way of RNAcentral. Lineage: Eukaryota; Metazoa; Chordata; Actinopteri; Siluriformes; Pangasiidae.
UCCCUGGAAGACCAGUGGUUAGGCCACAGUGCUCUUACUGCUACGGCCCGGGCUCGAUUCCUGGCCAGGGAG